CUUUGGUCCAUUCUGGGUCAAGAGAGCUAGAAGUCAAGUUAUACGUUACGGUGUGUUGUUUACGUGCUUGGUCAGCAGAGCAAUACACAUAGAAGUUGCUCAGAGUAUAGACACUGAUGCGUUUGUGAAUUCUAUGCGUCGCUUCAUUGCAAGGCGAGGUGUCCCUGAAGUUAUGAAGUCAGACAAUGGUUCAAAUUUUGUCAGUGGAAACAAGGAGCUCUGUGAAGCGAUCUCUGAGUGGAAUCAGAGUCAGAUCCACGAGUUCCUGUUGUAAAGAAACAUCAAGUGGCUGUUUAACCCACCAUCUGGAUCCCAUUUCGGUGGCGUCUGGGAGCGUUGUAUUAGAACUGUAAGAAAGAUCCUGGUCGCGCUUAUCAAGGAGCAACCGCUCGAUGAUGAGGGAUUGACUACGCUUAUGUGCGAGGUUGAAGCUAUAGUUAACGGGCGUCCAAUAACUAAAUCGUCAGAUGACCCAUUGGACGCUGAAGCCCUCACCCCAAACCAUUUGUUGUUGCUUCGUCCGGGCUCAAAGCUUCCGCCUGGUGUGUUCGUGAAAGAGGACAGUUACUCGCGCAGAAGAUGGCGCUAAGUGCAAUAUUUGGCCAACACCUUCUGGAGAAGAUGGAUUAGAGAGUAUUUGCCACAGUUGCAAGAGAGACAGAAAUGGGUCUAUCCGUCAAGGACCUUUGCUGUUAAUGACGUUGUGCUUGUGGUCGACUCUAGAGUACCAAGAUCGUCCUGGCCUCUCGGUCGUGUUACCAGUGUACACAAGAGCAGCAAAGAUGAACGUGUCAGAAGUGUGACCGUCAAGACAAGAACCUCACUGUACGAUCGUACUGUUAACAAGAUUGUUCUUUUGGAAUCAGUGGAGAUGUCAGAGGACACGCAACUAUGAAUUGAACUUUGUACUUGUUUUAGUGAACUCUUAAGCGUAACGUUUUGCUCGUGUUAAGUUUCGUUAAAAUCUUCAGCUAUUGCCUCUGAUUUUAGGGGCCGGAAUGUUAGUUACAAAACGUAUCCAUUAGUUUUUGGUUAUUUCCAACUCCUGGUCCUCGGGGACUGGGUAACAGUGUUCGAAGUAUUAUGGUCUGGGCCAUGUGCUCGGUUAGUUUCACAAGCUAGUCAUCAACACAAAUUGUCCUUGGAUUUCUCUAUCACGAGCCAGCAAAGCUUUCAAACCAAAACCGCCGAAGCGGGGGGGCCAACAUCUCCUGCCACGGCAAAGCGAAAGUAAGGAGGAAGCUACAGUUCACAGUCACUUGAAGUUCACUGCAAGGUUCGAGUGCCAGUGUUUACCGCGGACAAAGGUCUGAAAGUGGACGUGAAACCAUCGAACGGCUGUGUGUGUCAUUCGUAAUCCAGGCGAAGGUGAGUAUUAAUAUUUUCAUUUCUCUUCAAAACAAAGUGCGUUUGGAAGUUAAUGUUUUUGGGUAAAGAAUAGUUUUCGAAAGGUACUGGAAAAAUUGUGGCCUAUUUGCCUUUUAUUGUGCCACAAGGGAUCAAAAUAUGUUUUAAAACUCUUUUUUAAUUAUUCAUCUAGUAAUUUUACUUUGACGAAAGCAAACAGAACGUUGCCGAAAAUUUAGUUUUUUUUGCAUGCAUUUACAUCAUUUUAUAGCAUUUUUAGAUCCAAAAAAAUGCACCAGUUAAAGUUUUGGAAAGAAUGAAUAAGACAUAGUUCUCUGUUUUGUUCUCUUGCUAAAUGCAUAAUAACAUUUUAUUCCGACCACGACAGUGCAAAACUGAGUAAUGUCGCAGAGAGCUAUCGCUCCAGCUAAAACCCAUCUCACUGCUGUGCCUGCAAAGCAGCGUUUGGAUGUCUCAGUAUUUAUUCCUCCUUAGAUCCUAAAAUUCUGUUAUUGACAUGUUUGAGGUCUUAAGAGCUCUUCGACAUCUGUUUGUCCUAUUUUGUGUCGCAAAUUAGCCCAUGUUGAGCUUGCUCUAUGGCAACGCUGAAUUUGACGUUAUUGCAAUUUUUUCUGAAAUUUGACGUCGGGUAAUGACCUAGAACAUCUCCGACUACCGCAAAAAUAAGAUAGUAUUAAUAUAAGAACCAACUUUGGUCUAGUAAUGUCUGUAGGGUGAAAAAAACAUACUAUUCUUAGCACCAAAUUAAAUUUGCCAUUUGAAUGUAAAGUUCUGCAACACUGCGUUUUUGAAUAACUCAAUACUCAGUUUCCGAGAAAUCAUCCUGGUAAUUACGUAUGCAAAAAGGUAAGAGACGUGAUAUGUUUGCUACAGGCAUAGACGUACUGUGUUACCUUUUAUCUAUUUUAGUAGAUCACUUAGGAUUUGCAUGAAAGUUUACGUUUAACUCGGAAGAAUUUGCCAUAUAUUUAUUUCAGCUGCUAAUUCAGUUUAGCCCCUUGCUAGGAUACGCUUGUGAUUACUACCCGAAAGAAAGACCGUGAUGUGGUCAGUCCGGUAUUAUGCCAGUUUUGGAAGAAGCGCAGACGUCGUGAUUCUAUUGUUUCGCCAAAAUUGCAAAAACAUAAUCGCGAAAAAAUAUGGGCUCUUAGAACAGCUUGGUUCUAGGUUCCAUCAUUCGAUAUUCGGGACUUUCAAAGUCUCAUUACAAGCAUUCGCUCAAACGUUCCUUUUGCGAGAGUUGUGAACGUUUGGCAGGGAAGGGAAUCAAUAAAGUCCGUGUGAUUUGAGAGCGACCUUCGAAGAAGACGCUGCCUUUUGACGGGCAUCGAAUGUAAGUGCAUGUUUUUAAUUUUCCUCGAGACUACAAUAUGUGAGUGUUGUGUCGCCAAAGUUUCAUCGGUGGCAAAAGGUUAGUAAAAAUGGCAACCACGUAUUGAAAAUAGCCGUCAUAAGAAAUGGUUUCUAACAGGAAAACGACUAGAAGUUUACAUACAAUGUAUCGCGAGUACUUCGAGUCUUUUUUUUUUCAUUUUCACACUAUAUUGCGUUAGUCUUGUUUACAAGAUGAGAGUCUGUUAUUCUGUGAUAGCUGAAUCAUGUAAGCUGAUUUAUGAAACGAGUUUUUUUAUCGGCAUGAGAAGGCUGGAAUUUGACUGAAAUGUAGGUUUGAUAAGGGGCACAUUGAACAUGCACAUGCACUGAUGCACAUUUCUACAUGGUGUAUGUCCCGUUUGGUCAAUGAUUAUUUCAUUCCUUGUUUCUUAUUUAUUAGGAUGUCCGUCCAAAAUAUGGACAACCAUUUAGAAGUGUUAAAAAGUUGUUGCCGUCUGCCGGACUUGGUCCAAUGAAAUAAGUUUUGUGAUCAAUGCAUUAUUUGUUUAAGUUAAAUUGCAUUUUAGCAUUGGCCCAGAUUAAACGGCACACAUACAGGGCUUUAGGAAUGUUAGAGUUCAGCCCUGAAAUAAGCAGUGCAUGCAUUCACAACAAUGCGGGGCAUCACACUGAAUUGUUUGAGAAGUCAAGCAAAAUAAAGGAAGGAAACACUCAUUCUAAACCAGCCAGGCAAAUUUUGGAAAACCUCUGCCAUCAGCAUUUUGUGAAGAAAGGGGAGAGAAAUCUCCUUCGGAGAAAAGUCCCAGUGUCCAAACUUCAUGUGUAUUUUUUCGCAAACCCCUUUUCAACUUAAGCUUUAACAUUACAACAAAAACAACACUCUGUGAUAAUUAUACUUUUAGUAAUUGUACUUAGAGGACAAUUAGGCUACUGACCAAUGGGGACACAUUUGAUACAUCACAAGCAGACUACUGUUCCUGGUUCUACUAACAUGUACACAGGCUAGCCAUGCCUCAAAGCCUUUAGCAGUAUUCCAAAACAUAUUCUGGUGUAGAGUGUGACCAAGUUCACAAGUAUUUUAUUUU
RNAcentral lists this long non-coding RNA (3788 nucleotides) under Orbicella faveolata. Its description in RNAcentral is "uncharacterized LOC110065138". The record is from RNAcentral. Lineage: Eukaryota; Metazoa; Cnidaria; Anthozoa; Scleractinia; Merulinidae.